AAAGUCGUAACAAGGUUUCCGUAGGUGAACCUGCGGAAGGAUCAUUAAACGUUAAUAAUGUGUAUUCUCACGAGUAUAUCAUUCAUUAUAAACCCACCUGUGUAUCUCACCCGUUGCUUCCGUGAGCGGCGAGGCGACCUCGGUCGCCCCCCAGGUGCUCACGGGAGGUCUACAUCAAACCAUUGCAUUUUCCAUGUCAUCUGUCUGAUCUUGUUUACAACAAAUGUUAAAACUUUCAACAACGGAUCUCUUGGUUCUC
This 259-nucleotide unclassified non-coding RNA is filed under the name Ascomycota sp. Its description in RNAcentral is "partial contains small subunit ribosomal RNA, internal transcribed spacer 1, and 5.8S ribosomal RNA". The stretch from base 1 to 47 matches the Rfam family "Eukaryotic small subunit ribosomal RNA", at positions 1785 to 1831 of the family's 1831-position model. Lineage: Eukaryota; Fungi; Ascomycota. The record is from RNAcentral.